AGGAUGAACGCUGGCGGCGUGCUUAACACAUGCAAGUCGAACGAUGAAGGCUGGAGCUUGCUCUGGCUGGAUUAGUGGCGAACGGGUGAGUAACACGUGAGUAACCUGCCCCAGACUCUGGGAUAAGCGCUGGAAACGGCGUCUAAUACCGGAUACGAGCUUCCACCGCAUGGUGAGGAGCUGGAAAGAAUUUCGGUCUGGGAUGGACUCGCGGCCUAUCAGCUUGUUGGUGAGGUAAUGGCUCACCAAGGCGACGACGGGUAGCCGGCCUGAGAGGGUGACCGGCCACGACUGGGACUGAGACACGGCCCAGACUCCGUAGGGAGCAGCGAGUGGGAAUAGUUGCACGAAGUGGGACGAAAGCCUAGAUGCAGCGACGCCGCGUGGAGGAUGGACCGGUCCGUUACGGUACGUUAACCGUUCUUACGA
This 429-nucleotide ribosomal RNA is filed under the name uncultured soil bacterium. Its description in RNAcentral is "bacterial SSU rRNA". It matches the Rfam family "Bacterial small subunit ribosomal RNA", at positions 26 to 443 of the family's 1533-position model. The record is from RNAcentral.